Molecule: ribosomal RNA, 483 nt
Filed under: uncultured bacterium
Lineage: Bacteria
Description: partial 16S ribosomal RNA
Rfam family: Bacterial small subunit ribosomal RNA
Source: RNAcentral
GACGAACGCUGGCGGCGUGCUUAACACAUGCAAGUCGAACGCUGAAGCUCAGCUUUUGUUGGGUGGAUGAGUGGCGAACGGGUGAGUAACACGUGAGUAACCUGCCCCCUUCUUUGGGAUAACGCCCGGAAACGGGUGCUAAUACUGGAUAUUCACUGGUCUUCGCAUGGGGGUUGGUGGAAAGGGUUUUUCUGGUGGGGGAUGGGCUCGCGGCCUAUCAGCUUGUUGGUGGGGUGAUGGCCUACCAAGGCUUUGACGGGUAGCCGGCCUGAAAGGGUGACCGGUCACAUUGGGACUGAGAUACGGCCCAGACUCCUACGGGAGGCAGCAGUGGGGAAUAUUGCACAAUGGGCGCAAGCCUGAUGCAGCGACGCCGCGUGAGGGAUGGAGGCCUUCGGGUUGUGAACCUCUUUCGCUCAUGGUCAAGCCGCAACAAUGGUUGUGGUGAGGGUAGUGGGUAAAGAAGCGCCGGCUAACUACGUG